Molecule: ribosomal RNA, 255 nt
Filed under: uncultured bacterium
Lineage: Bacteria
Description: partial 16S ribosomal RNA
Rfam family: Bacterial small subunit ribosomal RNA
Source: RNAcentral
CACGGGUGAGUAACACGUAUCCAACCUGCCGUCUACUCUUGGACAGCCUUCUGAAAGGAAGAUUAAUACAAGAUGGCAUCAUGAGUCCGCAUGUUCACAUGAUUAAAGGUAUUCCGGUAGACGAUGGGGAUGCGUUCCAUUAGAUAGUAGGCGGGGUAACGGGCCCACCUAGUCUUCGAUGGAUAGGGGUUCUGAGAGGAAGGUCCCCCACAUUGGAACUGAGACACGGUCCAAACUCCUACGGGAGGCAGCAUG